RNAcentral lists this ribosomal RNA (253 nucleotides) under uncultured bacterium. RNAcentral's name for it is "partial 16S ribosomal RNA". It matches the Rfam family "Bacterial small subunit ribosomal RNA", at positions 524 to 776 of the family's 1533-position model. The record is from RNAcentral.
UACGGGGGGGGCAAGCGUUGUUCGGAAUUACUGGGCGUAAAGGGCUCGUAGGCGGCCAACUAAGUCAGACGUGAAAUCCCUCGGCUUAACCGGGGAACUGCAUCUGAUACUGGAUGGCUUGAGUUCGGGAGAGGGAUGCGGAAUUCCAGGUGUAGCGGUGAAAUGCGUAGAUAUCUGGAGGAACACCGGUGGCGAAGGCGGCACCCUGGACCGACACUGACGCUGAGGAGCGAAAGCCAGGGGAGCAAACGGG